RNAcentral lists this ribosomal RNA (322 nucleotides) under uncultured eukaryote. RNAcentral's name for it is "partial 18S ribosomal RNA". It matches the Rfam family "Eukaryotic small subunit ribosomal RNA", at positions 1470 to 1796 of the family's 1831-position model. The record is from RNAcentral.
CCCUUAGAUGUUCUGGGCUGCACGCGCGCUACACUGAUGCGUUCAACGAGUUUAUGACCUUGCCCGAUAGGGUUGGGUAAUCUUUUUAAAUCGCAUCGUGAUGGGGAUAGAUUAUUGCAAUUAUUAAUCUUCAACGAGGAAUUCCUAGUAAGCGCGAGUCAUCAGCUUGCAUUGAUUACGUCCCUGCCCUUUGUACACACCGCCCGUCGCACCUACCGAUUGAAUGGUCCGGUGAAAUCUCGGGACGGCGGCUUGGUCGCUUGCGUCCGACUGCUGAAACUUGAUUAAACCAUAUCAUUUAGAGGAAGGUGAAGUCGUANCA